Molecule: transfer RNA, 69 nt
Filed under: Rattus norvegicus (Norway rat)
Lineage: Eukaryota; Metazoa; Chordata; Mammalia; Rodentia; Muridae
Rfam family: tRNA
About the family: Transfer RNA (tRNA) molecules are approximately 80 nucleotides in length. Their secondary structure includes four short double-helical elements and three loops (D, anti-codon, and T loops). Further hydrogen bonds mediate the characteristic L-shaped molecular structure. tRNAs have two regions of fundamental functional importance: the anti-codon, which is responsible for specific mRNA codon recognition, and the 3' end, to which the tRNAs corresponding amino acid is attached (by aminoacyl-tRNA synthetases). tRNAs cope with the degeneracy of the genetic code in two manners: having more than one tRNA (with a specific anti-codon) for a particular amino acid; and 'wobble' base-pairing, i.e. permitting non-standard base-pairing at the 3rd anti-codon position.
Source: Rfam by way of RNAcentral
GGGGAUUUAGCUCAGCGGUAGAGCGCUUGCCUAGCAAGUGCAAGGCCCUGGGUUCGGUUCCCAGCUCCG